CCAGCCCACCUGCUGAUGAGACCCAGGUAAGAUCUCCUUCCCCGACUGGUACCCCAGAUCAGGUCCCCUUAAGCUGGGAUUCCCCAGAGGAGUUUGGGAGGGAAACCCGGGCAGAUCCGACCCUCCAAAAGUACAAAGACAGGGCAGAUGCUGGAGAGGAAGGGAUAGAUGGGGAACAGGUUAUAUAGGAUCCCUAAACCUUCCCAGAAGAGUGUUGCCUCUCCGCCGAAUCGCCAGUUAGUGGUACCUGCAAAGUACCGGCAGGAGAUUCUGCGGAUAGGGCAUGAUGUUCCAUUAGCUGGACAUCUAGGGUCCCGCCGCACAGCCUAUAGGAUCUCACAGAAUUUCUUUUGGCCAAACUUCAACCAGGCUGUGCGG
Non-coding RNA from Pelobates cultripes (western spadefoot toad), 378 nucleotides. Lineage: Eukaryota; Metazoa; Chordata; Amphibia; Anura; Pelobatidae. The record is from the annotation of a GenBank genome assembly.